UUCUGACAAAGCAGGCUUUACCUCGGGCUGGGGAGCAGCACCUGCGGGAGGAGGACCAGGGGACUGAGCUGCACUGUGGAGCGUAUGACGAGGAGGGCAACCCACAGAUGGCCUUUGUUCUGAUCAAACAGGAGGUGGACUGGGAGGCAGACUAUUCUGAUGACUACUCCCCUGGGUACAUACUGCUGAAGAAGGAGGGGGGCAGGCCCCCGACUCUGGUCCGCAGACAACCUCUCAGAGAGUUACCAGGCAGAGCCCUGGUUCCUCCUGGAGCCGUCAGGGCCCUGAUCAACCGUUACACCCAGGAAAGGCCUCCCACCACCCAGUCUACCUCAGGAGCCGCAGCGGCCGUCUUCCAGGGAGAUCCAGACACCCAGGAGGCCCCCCAGGCUCUCAGCCCAUCCCAGCCCAGGACCAGAGAGGUUACCAGUGGUAGUGCAGGCCAGUCCCCUGGAGCAGAACAGCAGUCACUGGUAAGACCAGCAGCAGAGUCUCCAUCAACAUUACACCAGACAGCAUCUCCUCAAUCAGCAGCCACUAUCCAGUCUACAUCACCUGUCCUGUCUGCUGUAUUGGUCCAGUCCACGGUAACUACUCUGUCAAAAGAAACUGUCCAGUCGACCCUAACGGUGAAGUCGACAGCAGCAGCGUCAGAGCGCCUGCCACCUGUCCUCUACGGGUUACCCAGAACCCCUCUUCAGGAUACACAGCCCAGCCCCGUACCCCCUCGUCCACCCCAAUCAUCCCCAUCGCAGUCCUUCACAGACGUUCUACCUGUAGCUCGUCCAAUAGCAGUGCCCUCAACACAAUCAGCUAGGCCUACAGGACCACCGGCCGCACCACCAACACAACCGCAACCGCCUACAGUUUUGGAGCAGUUGGGUGUUGCAACAUCACUAACACCAUCGGUCCAGUCCGCUCCUUCUCCAACUGUGUUGACAGAACCUGCCGGCCCCCCUGAAAAGCAGGCGCCGUUGGUCACUGAUCAUGUGCAACUCUCCCCCACUGUGCCACGACUGAAGUCACCUGCUGUCCCAGAGAGGAUGUCUGAUGAAGCUCCUCCUCAGCUGUCAGACCCUGCUGUAACUACACCCUCUUGCCCCUUUCAAAUGUCUAAGACACAGUUUUUAGCUCAGUUGUCAGUAGUACCCCAAGUACGCGCCCUGCCGUGGUUGGAGGAAGAGGAGGAGGAAAAAGGGGGGGAGGAAGAUGAAGGGCAGGAAGAUGAGGGAGGGCUUUCUUCCCUCCCUGCCACGUCUACGGAAGCUGUGACAACCAGGUCUGUCGCUACGGAGACGACCCCCGCCAGCGAGAAAAAGGAGAUUGUUGUCCAGGUAGGUGGUGGCAGAAAGUCAAGUCAACGUGAAGCGCUCCUCUCUGGUCUCCGCCUCCGCUUAAGGCCCUGCCCCCAGAACAAUACUCCAUCUCCAGUGGUUGCUAAGAAACCCAGAGAAGAGGGAACCGCCCCCCGGUACCAUACCAGCUCCAACAGGCUCCGCCGAAAAGUCUCGCCAAAAACCAGUGUGCAGACUGCGGUCGUGUCCUGA
Molecule: long non-coding RNA, 1547 nt
Organism: Oncorhynchus mykiss (rainbow trout)
Lineage: Eukaryota; Metazoa; Chordata; Actinopteri; Salmoniformes; Salmonidae
Source: Ensembl